Molecule: ribosomal RNA, 496 nt
Filed under: uncultured bacterium
Lineage: Bacteria
Description: partial 16S ribosomal RNA
Rfam family: Bacterial small subunit ribosomal RNA
Source: RNAcentral
GAUGAACGCUGGCGGCGUGCCUAAUACAUGCAGGUCGAGCGGACAGACGAGGAGCUUGCUCCUCUGACGUUAGCGGCGGACGGUGAGUAACACGUGGAUAACCUACCUAUAAGACUGGGAUAACUUCGGGAAACCGGAGCUAAUACCGGAUAAUAUAUUGAACCGCAUGGUUCAAUAGUGAAAGACGGUUUUGCUGUCACUUAUAGAUGGAUCCGCGCCGCAUUAGCUAGUUGGUAAGGUAACGGCUUACCAAGGCGACGAUGCGUAGCCGACCUGAGAGGGUGAUCGGCCACACUGGAACUGAGACACGGUCCAGACUCCUACGGGAGGCAGCAGUAGGGAAUCUUCCGCAAUGGGCGAAAGCCUGACGGAGCAACGCCGCGUGAGUGAUGAAGGUCUUCGGAUCGUAAAACUCUGUUAUUAGGGAAGAACAAAUGUGUAAGUAACUAUGCACGUCUUGACGGUACCUAAUCAGAAAGCCACGGCUAACUACGUG